GACAGAGGGGCAUAGUGGUUUGAGCAUUGGACUAAGACUCUGGAGACCAAAGUUCGAAUUCUGGCUUGGCCA
Molecule: non-coding RNA, 72 nt
Organism: Phrynosoma platyrhinos (Desert horned lizard)
Lineage: Eukaryota; Metazoa; Chordata; Lepidosauria; Squamata; Phrynosomatidae
Source: the annotation of a GenBank genome assembly